UACAGAGGUCCCAAGCGUUGUUCGGAUUUACUGGGCGUAAAGGGUGCGUAGGUGGUUGGGUAAGUUUGAUGUGAAAUCUCCGGGCUUAACCCGGAAAUGGCAUUGAAUACUAUUCGGCUAGAGGUUUGGAGGGGGACUGGAAUUCUUGGUGUAGCGGUGAAAUGCGUAGAGAUGUGGAGGAACACCAGUGGCGAAGGCGACUCUUUGGCCUGUAACUGACGCUGAGGCGCGAAAGCGUGGGGAGCAAACAGG
Molecule: ribosomal RNA, 252 nt
Filed under: uncultured bacterium
Lineage: Bacteria
Description: partial 16S ribosomal RNA
Rfam family: Bacterial small subunit ribosomal RNA
Source: RNAcentral